UGGUCAAGUUAUUAAGGGUGCAGGGCGGAUGCCUUGGCACUAGGAGCCGAUGAAGGACGUGAUAAGCUGCGAUAAGCUUCGGGGAGUUGCACGUAAACUUUGAUCCGAAGAUUUCCGAAUGAGGAAACUCACUUAGAGUAAUGUCUAAGUAUCAUUAAGUGAAUACAUAGCUUAAUGAGGGGAACUCAGGGAACUGAAACAUCUAAGUACCUGAAGGAAGAGAAAGAAAUUCGAUUCCGUAAGUAGCGGCGAGCGAACGCGGAUUAGCCCAAACCAAUAAAGUUUUCUUUAUUGGGGUUGCGGACAUAUCAUAACGAAGAGGUAUCGUAAUUGAAGAGGUUUGGAAAGACCCACCACAGAAGGUAAUAGUCCUGUAUGUUAAACGAGAAGACUUCAGAUAUGAUCCAGAGUACCACGGGACACGUGAAACCCUGUGGGAAGCAGGAGGGACCACCCUCCAAGGCUAAAUACUACCUAGUGACCGAUAGCGUAUAGUACCGUGAGGGAAAGGUGAAAAGAACCCCGGGAGGGGAGUGAAAUAGAACCUGAAACCCUGCACUUACAAGCUGUGGAAGCACAUUUCUUGUGUGACCGCGUACUUUUUGUAGAACGGGCCAACGAGUUACGUUAAGUAGCAAGGUUAAGCACUUAAGGUGCGGAGCCGUAGCGAAAGCGAGUUUUAACUGAGCGUUCAGUUACUUGACGUAGACCCGAAACCGGGCGACCUACCCAUGAGCAGGAUGAAGCGAAAGUAAAAUUUCGUGGAGGUCCGAACCCACGAGCGUUGAAAAGCUCGGGGAUGACUUGUGGGUAGCGGUGAAAUUCCAAUCGAGCCCGGAGAUAGCUGGUUCUCCCCGAAAUAGCUUUAGGGCUAGCCUCAAGGUGAGAGAUACGGAGGUAGAGCACUGAAUGUCCUAGGGGGUAUUGCACCUACCGAAGACUAUCAAACUCCGAAUGCCGUCAUCUUAUACUUGGGAGUCAGACUGUGGGUGAUAAGAUUCAUAGUCGAAAGGGCAACAGCCCAGAUCGUCAGCUAAGGUCCCUAAAUGUAAGUUAAGUGGUAAAGGAUGUGGGAUUGCACAGACAACCAGGAUGUUGGCUUAGAAGCAGCCACUCAUUCAAAGAGUGCGUAAUAGCUCACUGGUCGAGUGAUCCUGCGCCGAAGAUUUCCGGGGCUAAAACUUACUACCGAAGCUACGGCAUCAGUAAUGAUGGGUAGGGGAGCUUCCCAUACGGGUUGAAGCAUGACCGUAAGGACAUGUGGACAGUAUGGGAGUGAGAAUGUUGGCAUGAGUAGCGAGAUGUGGGUGAGAAUCCCACAGGCCGUAAACCCAAGGUUUCCAGGGGAAGGUUCGUCCGCCCUGGGUUAGUCGGAACCUAAGCUGAGGCCGAAAGGCGUAGGUGAUGGACAACAGGUUGAUAUUCCUGUACUACCGAUAACCAUUUGAGAGAAGGGAUGACACAGUAGGAUAAGCUAAGCACACUGUUGGUUAUGUGUGCCCAAGCAUUGAGGCAGUCAAAGUAGGCAAAUCCGCUUUGAUAAUGCUGGGAUGUGAUGGGGAGCGAAAUUUAGUAGCGAAGUAGCUGAUUUCACACUGUCAAGAAAAGUCUCUAUCGAGGUUAAAGGUACCCGUACCGCAAACCGACACAGGUGGGUGAGGAGAGUAUCCUAAGGCCAGCGAGAGAACUGUUGUUAAGGAACUCGGCAAAAUGACCCCGUAACUUAGGGAUAAGGGGUGCCACCAUCAGGUGGCCGCAGAGAAUAGGCCCAAGCGACUGUUUACCAAAAACAUAGGUUUCUGCUAAGUCGCAAGACGAUGUAUAGGAGCUGACGCCUGCCCGGUGCUGGAAGGUUAAGGGGAUCUGUUAGAGCAAUCGAAGCAGUGAACUUAAGCCCCAGUAAACGGCGGCCGUAACUAUAACGGUCCUAAGGUAGCGAAAUUCCUUGUCGGGUAAGUUCCGACCCGCACGAAAGGCGUAACGAUUUGGGCACUGUCUCAACAACAGACUCGGUGAAAUUGUAAUUCCGGUGAAGAUGCCGGAUACCUGCGACAGGACGGAAAGACCCCAUGGAGCUUUACUGUAGCUUGACAUUGGGUCUUGGUACUACAUGUACAGGAUAGGUGGGAGGCUUUGAAACCAGGACGCCAGUUUUGGCGGAGCCAUCCUUGGGAUACCACCCUUGUAGUACUGGGACUCUAACCAUAGGCCAUGAAUCUGGUCUUGGGACACUGUCAGGUGGGCAGUUUGACUGGGGCGGUCGCCUCCCAAAAGGUAACGGAGGCGCUCAAAGGUUCUCUCAGUACGGUCGGAAAUCGUACGUAGAGUGUAAAGGCAAAAGAGAGCUUGAUUGCAAGACAUACAGGUCGAGCAAGGAUGAAAAUCGGACUUAGUGAUCCGGUGGUUCUGCGUGGAAGGGCCAUCGCUCAACGGAUAAAAGCUACCCUGGGGAUAACAGGCUUAUCUCCCCCAAGAGUCCACAUCGACGGGGAGGUUUGGCACCUCGAUGUCGGCUCAUCACAUCCUGGGGCUGUAGUAGGUCCCAAGGGUUGGGCUGUUCGCCCAUUAAAGUGGUACGCGAGCUGGGUUCAGAACGUCGUGAGACAGUUCGGUCCCUAUCCGUCGCAGGCGUAGGAAAUUUGAGAAGACCUGUCCUUAGUACGAGAGGACCGGGAUGGACGUACCUCUGGUGUACCAGUUGUUCUGCCAAGGGCAUGGCUGGGUAGCUAUGUACGGAAUGGAUAAGCGCUGAAAGCAUCUAAGCGCGAAGCCAACUUCAAGAUAAGAUUUCCCACCGCAAGGGUAAGACUCCAGAAAGACUAUCUGGUUGAUAGGUCGAAGGUGUAAGUGCAGCAAUGUAUUUAGCUUAUCGAUACUAAUAGGUCGAGGACUUGACCAAU
Molecule: ribosomal RNA, 2900 nt
Filed under: Clostridioides difficile
Lineage: Bacteria; Bacillati; Bacillota; Clostridia; Peptostreptococcales; Peptostreptococcaceae
Description: bacterial LSU rRNA
Rfam family: Bacterial large subunit ribosomal RNA
Source: RNAcentral